This 468-nucleotide ribosomal RNA is filed under the name uncultured bacterium. Its description in RNAcentral is "partial 16S ribosomal RNA". It matches the Rfam family "Bacterial small subunit ribosomal RNA", at positions 28 to 507 of the family's 1533-position model. The record is from RNAcentral.
GACGAACGCUGGCGGCGUGCUUAAUACAUGCAAGUCGAACGGAAAGGCCCUGUUCUUGUGGGGUGCUCGAGUGGCGAAAAGGGGAGUAUAACGUGAGUAAACUGUGCUUGUCUUUGGGAUACCUUCAGGAAACUGGGGUUCAUACCGGACAGGAGCACCUGCUGCAUGGGGGGGGUUGGUGAGAUUCGGCGUUUGGGGAAGGAGUCGCGGUUUAUCAGCUUGUUGGUGGGGUGGUGGCUUACCAACGCAUCGACGGGUAGCCGGCCUGGGAGGGUGACCGGCCACAUUGGGACUGGGAUAGGGCCCGGAGUGCUACGGGAGGCAUCAGUGGGGAAUAUUGCACAAUGGGCGGAAGCCUGAUGCAGCAACGCCGCGUGCGGGAUGACUGCUUUCGGGUUGUAAACCGCUUUCGCCUGUGACGAAGCGUGAGUGACGGUAAUGAGUAAAGAAGCACCGGCUAACUACGUG